GCGCGCGCGCGCCGCCCUAGGCACCCGGGAGCUCAGGCUGUCGUCGGCUCCCAGCGUCCGCCCGCAGUGGGGCGGAGGGAGCGCCACCUACGUCACUGGCGCCACCGCUGGGUCUCGCCGCUCAUUGGCUGCUCCGAGGGAACAGACUCCAAGCCCCUCGCCCCCUCCUGACUGCGCGCCCCCGGAAACCUGAAACCGGUCAAGUUUUGCUCUUUUACCUCUGCUGCUGGACUCAGCUCUGCAGCUCUGCUUGCACCUGUAACGCAGGAGGAGCCUGAAUCCCCACCAACUUCUCCGGAGAGAAGAUCUUGGCAGAACCUAGAAGACAAAGGAGACAUUUCAGUUCCUAAGUGCCUGUGUACACAAGGAAACUUGAAGAAAUGAACAUGUGUAUGAACCCCGUGACUUUAUGCAAACACUUUCCUCCUCUCUGAGAUCUCGUUGUCUUGUCGGGAAGAGAGUCCGGAGGACUGCUGCUUGCUGACGACCCACCACAAGCUCAGCACUUUAUAGAUAUCCUUUCUUCCACUCUUUAUAUGAUUUUACAACUAAGGCAUGCAGAUACUGUUACCCUACCUUUUUUCAGGUUAAGAAAAUCCAGUCACAAAGAUAAACAAAACAAAACAGAACAACAACAAAAGAGAGUCUGUGCCUGUUGUAGUUGAAGAACAUAAUUGUUAUACACACCCAAAGUCAUAACAAUGUUAUUCACAAUAGGAAAAAGGUGGGAACAGCUACGUGUCCAUUAAGAGGGGAGUGGUUAAACAGGCUAUGCCGUAUAUAAUUGGAUUAUUUUAGCUUUAAAAGGAGGGACAUUCCAACACUCAUGGACCUUAGUAUGUUAAGUGGUAUGAGCCAGUCAAGCAAAGCACAAAUCUUGGAUGAUUCCCCAUACAUAAGAUAAGAAUGUUAGUCCAAGUCACAGAGUGGUGGCUGUCAAGGGCAGAGGAAAAAAGAGAUGGGUCACUACUUAAUAGGUGUAGAGUUUCAGUUUUGCAGGAUAAAAUGUUGUGGGGAUCAGUUACAUAGCAAUGCAGCAGUAUUUAUAGCUAUUGAGUUUUACACUAAACAUGGUUAAGAUGGUAAAGCUUAUGUGUAUUUUAUUGUAACUAAAGAAUAAAUACAUACAGAUGUCAACCAAAACAACUAUAGCUACCAGGGUAGCCUCCAGUUAUCAGGGGUCGGGUGUGAUCUGUUGUUACUGAUUUAUACAGUCUGACCAAAUUAUCAAUGAUUUUCCUGCCAGUGGCUCAUCUCAGUGGUGUGCCACAGCUGUGGUCUGCCCUCCUCUAUCAAAAUAAGUGUGGGCCUACUAUCUUUAGCCUUGGAUUCUUUCUUUAGAGACUUACAAAUAUGAACCUUGAAUAAAGAUCUGUGUGUAGAGGACAUGCCAGGUGACCCUGGGGAAUCAUUCCAUAUGGGAGGUUGGACUGUGUUCCUUUCAGGGCAGUUAUGUGAAAUCUUACAGUUGUCAGAAGUGAUGAUUUUGCCCUUGGUGACAUCAGUAGAGCCCUAGGUGACAUUGCAAUGCUUAUCCAUGUCUUUUCAUGGCAUAUGCCUGUCACAUCUGCAAAUUAUUUGGACCAAUUUCUUCAGCAGGAAAUGGUCGGGUCUCUUCAUUAAUAGAGCUCCCUUCGAUUUGUGGUUUCAACCCUGCAGGUUAAAAUUACUGUCUAUUAGUUCCCUUAAAAAGGAUGUUUGGAUUUCACAAGUGUGUGGAUUGAAUAUCCAUUGUUUGCCUUGUGUUGGAGGAACAAAGACAAACAUUACAUGCUUCAAAACAAGCUGCCUUCAAGCCCAGCAUAUUAGUUAACCAACAAACAGCCCCUAAAAUAGUAAUGGUAAUGCGGUAUUUGUUUUCCUUUACCUAGACACUAGCCUGAAUUCCUUACUCUUCCCUCUAUGGCUUCUUCCAUGCUUUUCAUUCAUAUACGGGUUGAAGUGUUGGCACAUAUACUAUGUGUUAUGUUAAAAUGUAAUUUGAGACAAUAGCAACAUGGGCAACAAUGAGAGAGCACAGAUUUUUGUCUCCUUUAAGAAUGGUAUCUCUAAAUUACAUUCUCUUCCCAAACACAGCUUUCAAUAGCUCAUCAUCGGCUCCACAGAAAUCAACCUGCAACAUGACAGCUUUCACCUCAAGUGUCUCAUAAAAAGCCAAAGUCAACUCUGAAGAUCAAGUAUUACCCAUUAGUGGAAUGAAGCCGAAUAACCUCUGACCAGACUGUCACUGGGGAGUUUUGGCCACAUCUGUGAUUCCUGUUAGCACCCACUUUCUUCCUCAAAGGGCCAGGAGGACAGCUUUUGGCUAAAGCAAGGAAGUUGUGUUCAAAGGAUUUACAGAUGAAACGGGCUUCAGAGUCAAAAGGUUCCAUGCAGUGGCGGAUUCUCUUUUAUACAGUACUAAGAAAUGACCUGCCCUUGGCCUUUUAAAGUGUCACUUGCAACCUGUCAAGAUACUGGAGAGGAGUCACAGCAGGUGUCACAUCAGCUGUGACAAAACCCAAACCAUUUUAGAGCCUAGACUGGCAGUUACAUUAGAACCCUGGCAAGGAGCCUUCUCUGAGGGCUCUCUGACCGAACUGGAGAAGCCUAGAAGUGCCCUCAUUGGAAGCUGUUUGUAACAGGAAAACUGGGACUGCUACAUAAAGCUUAGCAUAUAAAAGAAGCCAAUUGGUAGAGUAAGGGUGGAAGCCAUUCUUCACCUGGGCUUCAGGUAGCCAAGAACAUGCUUAAGGAAAGCCUUUCGUAUACUUGGAGGAUGGCAGGUGCUGGGUAAGCAUUCCCUAGAGUCAGGCGCUUCCCGUCUCAGGCUUUUGGAGACCCUUCAAAUCUACAGAAUACUGCUUUUCCCUUGCCUCUCUGUUAAUUCCCUUUGUUGGGACUGCUUUCCUUUGUCAAUAAACUCGUCUCUAUCUUUA
Long non-coding RNA from Mus musculus (house mouse), 2918 nucleotides. RefSeq annotates it as predicted gene, 32184. The transcript has 3 exons. NCBI's taxonomy places the organism in Eukaryota, Metazoa, Chordata, Mammalia, Rodentia, Muridae. The record is from RefSeq and is a predicted model, not a curated record.